AACGAACGCUGGCGGCGCGCCUAACACAUGCAAGUCGAACGCAUGCUUGAUCUUCGGGUUGGGCAUGAGUGGCGGACGGGUGAGUAACGCGUGGGAACCUGCCCUGAGGUUCGGGACAACCGUGGGAAACUGCGGCUAAUACCGGAUAUCUCCUUUGGGAGAAAGACUUGUCGCCUUGGGAGGGGCCCGCGUCGGAUUAGCUUGUUGGUGGGGUAACGGGCCUACCAAGGCAUCGAUCCGUAGCUGGUCUGAGAGGAUGAUCAGCCACACUGGGACUGAGACACGGCCCAGACUCCUACGAGAGGCAGCAGUGGGGGAAUCUUGGACAAUGGGGGCGAACCCUCGAUCCACGCGACGCCGCGUGGGUGGACGAAGG
RNAcentral lists this ribosomal RNA (376 nucleotides) under uncultured bacterium. RNAcentral's name for it is "bacterial SSU rRNA". It matches the Rfam family "Bacterial small subunit ribosomal RNA", at positions 28 to 414 of the family's 1533-position model. The record is from RNAcentral.